CAGCCGCCGCGGGAAUACGUAGGUCCCGAGCGUUGUCCGGAUUUACUGGGCGUAAAGCGUGCGCAGGCGGUUGUGUAAGACAGGUGUGAAAUCCCCGGGCUUAACCUGGGAACUGCGCUUGUAACUGCACAGCUAGAGUAUGGCAGAGGGGGGCGGAAUUCCACGUGUAGCAGUGAAAUGCGUAGAGAUGUGGAGGAACACCGAUGACGAAGGCAGCCCCCUGGGCCAAUACUGACGCUCAUGCACGAAAGCGUGGGGAGCGAACAGGAUUAGAUACCCCCGUAGUCCCUGUCUCUUAUAC
RNAcentral lists this ribosomal RNA (301 nucleotides) under uncultured bacterium. RNAcentral's name for it is "partial 16S ribosomal RNA". It matches the Rfam family "Bacterial small subunit ribosomal RNA", at positions 509 to 807 of the family's 1533-position model. The record is from RNAcentral.